This 1074-nucleotide long non-coding RNA is filed under the name Marmota monax (woodchuck). Lineage: Eukaryota; Metazoa; Chordata; Mammalia; Rodentia; Sciuridae. The record is from RNAcentral.
CUUCAUUUAACAACAGGACAUUCACCCAUCUUCCUGGAACCAUUGACAACAGGACAUCAAGUGAGAGGCUCAGAGGAUGCUUGAGGAUGUUUUAACUCAAAUAGAUUCUUAGGUUUGCGACACCAAGAUAUCAGGAAGGACAAAAUGCCUAGCCAGUCUUUAUUUUCCUAAAAACAAAUAAACAAACAAAAAAACCCCAAAUAUUCUCCCCACCAAAUGAUAGUAUCCUAUCAAUCCUGCAGACCCCCAAGGGCUUUAAACCCCCAUCUCUAACAGUCUGCAUUCACCAAUGAUCAUUAAAGGCCUAAAUUGCCUUCCUGAAAAUAUCAUCCUAUCUCUGUUAAGCAAAGGAACCCUUCACUAUCUCCUGAAGAUGAGACGCUAAUCUUGAACACAGACAUCUGUGCUUACCUAGCGGCAUGUUCUUCAUAACACAAAUACAGAGCUAUCUAGGGUCACAUGAAUUUUGCACUGCACAGAUUGCAAGAGAUGACCAGAACAUGGGACAUGAGAUAAAUUGUCACUCCAGCAGAUAAGAUGCAAAUUUUCACUAGUGACCCCUGAGGCACCAACUCCUCUACAUUACACAGGUCAGGAGAAAGAGAGUUAAUUCAAGGUCUAAUUAUAGCUAGGGUAAUAACCUUAAUUGGAUAACUUAUUGGAUGGGUAGAAGGAAUAAUUUGCAAUGCAGUGACCACUCAAAACAUUUCCGCAACCACAGGGGACAUUGCUAUAGAAACUUGACAAGAGUUUAAAUGACUAGCUAAAAUAUUUAGGCUUACUAGCCCAAUUGGUGAUUGAAAAUAGGCUGGUUCUAGGUGAUUUAUUGGCUUGGGAAGGUGGAGUUUGUACUCUGGCAAACACCUACUGCUGAUUUUAUGUCACUGUGUCUGGAAAAAUAAAUACUAGUGCUGAUCAAGUUUUGCAAAAAGCUAUUGGCUUUAAAGCUGUUCACCCAGAUAACACUAGAGAUGUAUGGGAAACUUUAAGCUUACCUGCCUAAACUCACUUGUCUGUUACCACUGUUUGGAUCUUUGGUUGCUAUAACUCUACUCCUAUUGCUUGAUCCUUGCC